Molecule: long non-coding RNA, 878 nt
Filed under: Piliocolobus tephrosceles (Ugandan red Colobus)
Lineage: Eukaryota; Metazoa; Chordata; Mammalia; Primates; Cercopithecidae
Description: lncRNA (ENSPTEG00000002062.1)
Source: RNAcentral
CCACUUGCAUAGUUGGCCACUUAUAUUUAUGUGCACAAUUACCCAUUUACUCAUUCUUUCAUUUUUUUUACUGCUUUCUUUUUUCUGUAUUAACUGUCUUAGUGUAUACAACAUAAAAGAAAUAAGCAAUGACACUAUAUUUUAUUUAGUACAACUAUUUAAAGCUUUAAAAGUUACUAAAAUCUAUAGUAUUAUUAUAAAACUUGUUCACAGUCGCACUAAGCAGGAUUACAAACACCGGAACGAAUGGAAUGUUAUAAGGCUUUUUUAAUAUCACAAAAAAAAAAAAAAAUAAUAAUCAUAAUAAUAAUAACAAAAAAAAUAGAUAAAUGAACAAAAACCUUCAAAUAUGACAUAACAUAUGAAUAUAUAUAUAUAUAUGAGCACACACAGUGAUACAUGUGUUUUUUUUUUUUUUCUUUUUUUUUUUUUAAAGUUUGAAAAAAUGGAAAGCAUGAAACGUAUGAAAACUUUGAAGGAAAGUCUAAAGUUUACAAAUAAAGUCCACCUGACUAUAAUAAGAAGAUAUUUUAUGUCGAUAUUUUUUAUACUGUUAUCAUAUAUAUUCAUAGAAAUGAUAUCGACUUCAAAGCAUAAUCAUAACUCGAUGGACUACUUUGUUUACAACUUAAAUCUAGUUUCUUUUGACGAUUAUUAUGAAACAGAGUUUUUAAAAGCGCUGUAUUAUUAUAGUACAAUUCAGAAAAACAAUGAUUCGGGUGAAUAUUUAAUAAGCUUUAAAUCUAAAAAGAAGUUAAAAAAUUUUACAAACAGAAAGGAAAUUAAUUUAAAAGGAAAUGAACAUGUUUUAUGGGAUUUUACAAAUUUGUAUUAUGUAAUAAAAAAAAUAAAAUAAAAAUAAAUAAAUAAAUAAAAAA